Molecule: ribosomal RNA, 330 nt
Filed under: uncultured eukaryote
Lineage: Eukaryota
Description: partial 18S ribosomal RNA
Rfam family: Eukaryotic small subunit ribosomal RNA
Source: RNAcentral
CCCUUAGAUGUUCUGGGCUGCACGCGCGCUACACUGAUGCGUUCAACGAGCAUAUUUUAACCUUGCCCGAUAGGGUUGGGUAAUCUUCUGAAAACGCAUCGUGAUGGGGAUAGAUUAUUGUAAUUAUUAAUCUUCAACGAGGAAUUCCUAGUAAUGGUGAAUCAUCAGUUCAUCGUGAUUACGUCCCUGCCCUUUGUACACACCGCCCGUCGCUGCCUCCGAUUGAGUGAUCCGGUGAAUAAUUCGGACUGGUGCUUUGUUUGGUUCGCCGAACUUAGUACCGGGAAGUCUAGUAAACCUUAUCACUUAGAGGAAGCAAAAGUCGUANCA